UACGGAGGGUGAAAGCGUUAUCCGGAUUCACUGGGUUUAAAGGGUGCGUAGGCGGGCAUUUAAGUCAGUGGUGAAAUACCUGAGCUUAACUUGGGAACUGCCAUUGAUACUAUUUGUCUUGAAUGUCGUGGAGGUUAGCGGAAUAUGUCAUGUAGCGGUGAAAUGCUUAGAUAUGACAUAGAACACCUAUUGCGAAGGCAGCUAACUACGCGAAUAUUGACGCUGAGGCACGAAAGCGUGGGGAUCAAACAGG
RNAcentral lists this ribosomal RNA (253 nucleotides) under uncultured bacterium. RNAcentral describes it as "partial 16S ribosomal RNA". It matches the Rfam family "Bacterial small subunit ribosomal RNA", at positions 524 to 776 of the family's 1533-position model. The record is from RNAcentral.